AAAUUGAAGAGUUUGAUCAUGGCUCAGAUUGAACGCUGGCGGCAGGCCUAACACAUGCAAGUCGAGCGGUAGCACAGAGAGCUUGCUCUCGGGUGACGAGCGGCGGACGGGUGAGUAAUGUCUGGGAAACUGCCUGAUGGAGGGGGAUAACUACUGGAAACGGUAGCUAAUACCGCAUAACGUCGCAAGACCAAAGUGGGGGACCUUCGGGCCUCAUGCCAUCAGAUGUGCCCAGAUGGGAUUAGCUAGUAGGUGGGGUAACGGCUCACCUAGGCGACGAUCCCUAGCUGGUCUGAGAGGAUGACCAGCCACACUGGAACUGAGACACGGUCCAGACUCCUACGGGAGGCAGCAGUGGGGAAUAUUGCACAAUGGGCGCAAGCCUGAUGCAGCCAUGCCGCGUGUGUGAAGAAGGCCUUCGGGUUGUAAAGCACUUUCAGCGGGGAGGAAGGCGAUAAGGUUAAUAACCUUGUCGAUUGACGUUACCCGCAGAAGAAGCACCGGCUAACUCCGUGCCAGCAGCCGCGGUAAUACGGAGGGUGCAAGCGUUAAUCGGAAUUACUGGGCGUAAAGCGCACGCAGGCGGUCUGUCAAGUCGGAUGUGAAAUCCCCGGGCUCAACCUGGGAACUGCAUUCGAAACUGGCAGGCUAGAGUCUUGUAGAGGGGGGUAGAAUUCCAGGUGUAGCGGUGAAAUGCGUAGAGAUCUGGAGGAAUACCGGUGGCGAAGGCGGCCCCCUGGACAAAGACUGACGCUCAGGUGCGAAAGCGUGGGGAGCAAACAGGAUUAGAUACCCUGGUAGUCCACGCCGUAAACGAUGUCGAUUUGGAGGUUGUGCCCUUGAGGCGUGGCUUCCGGAGCUAACGCGUUAAAUCGACCGCCUGGGGAGUACGGCCGCAAGGUUAAAACUCAAAUGAAUUGACGGGGCCCGCACAAGCGGUGGAGCAUGUGGUUUAAUUCGAUGCAACGCGAAGAACCUUACCUGGUCUUGACAUCCACAGAACUUUCCAGAGAUGGAUUGGUGCCUUCGGGAACUGUGAGACAGGUGCUGCAUGGCUGUCGUCAGCUCGUGUUGUGAAAUGUUGGGUUAAGUCCCGCAACGAGCGCAACCCUUAUCCUUUGUUGCCAGCGGUUAGGCCGGGAACUCAAAGGAGACUGCCAGUGAUAAACUGGAGGAAGGUGGGGAUGACGUCAAGUCAUCAUGGCCCCUUACGACCGGGGCUACACACGUGCUACAAUGGCAUAUACAAAGAGAAGCGACCUCGCGAGAGCAAGCGGACCUCAUAAAGUAUGUCGUAGUCCGGAUUGAGUCUGCAACUCGACUCCAUGAAGUCGGAAUCGCUAGUAAUCGUAGAUCAGAAUGCUACGGUGAAUACGUUCCCGGGCCUUGUACACACCGCCCGUCACACCAUGGGAGUGGGUUGCAAAAGAAGUAGGUAGCUUAACCUUCGGGAGGGCGCUUACCACUUUGUGAUUCAUGACUGGGGUGAAGUCGUAACAAGGUAACCGUAGGGGAACCUGCGGUUGGAUCACCUCCUUACCUUAAAGAA
This 1549-nucleotide ribosomal RNA is filed under the name Klebsiella pneumoniae. RNAcentral's name for it is "bacterial SSU rRNA". It matches the Rfam family "Bacterial small subunit ribosomal RNA". Lineage: Bacteria; Pseudomonadati; Pseudomonadota; Gammaproteobacteria; Enterobacterales; Enterobacteriaceae. The record is from RNAcentral.